This 339-nucleotide unclassified non-coding RNA is filed under the name soil metagenome. RNAcentral's name for it is "partial contains 5.8S ribosomal RNA, internal transcribed spacer 2, and large subunit ribosomal RNA". The stretch from base 1 to 120 matches the Rfam family "5.8S ribosomal RNA", at positions 35 to 154 of the family's 154-position model. The record is from RNAcentral.
GAUGAAGAACGUAGCGAAAUGCGAUAAGUAGUGUGAAUUGCAGAAUUCAGUGAAUCAUCGAAUCUUUGAACGCACAUUGCGCCCCUCGGUAUUCCGUGGGGCAUGCCUGUUCGAGCGUCAUUUAACCCCUCAAGCCUAGCUUGGUAUUGGGUGCUUGUCCCGCCUCUCGCGCGGCGACUCACCUCAAAGUCAUUGGCAGCCCGCAUCUCGCCGGCCGUGAGCGCAGCACAGACGCGCUCUUGGCAACGACGGAUCGGCUCUCCAAAAGCUUAUUUCAACCACUGACCUCGGAUCAGGUAGGGAUACCCGCUGAACUUAAACAUAUCAAUAAGCGGAGGA